AGAAGCCUGGGGUGUUCGAUACUCUUGUUAUUUUGAACCUACACUUUAUGAUUGGGAUUCCUACAUUCUUGCAUGGAAGUCAAGCCACCAUUGCAGUGGAAGACGGAAGUGCAUAUGCGGUUGCCCACCUAGCGAUUGCUAGGACUCAAAAUGCAGGAAACGGCAUCGUGGGUUUCUU
This is a non-coding RNA of Clostridium sp. CAG:230, 178 nucleotides long. It matches the Rfam family "6S / SsrS RNA". Rfam says of the family: E. coli 6S RNA was the first non coding RNA to be sequenced, but its function was unknown until recently. It consists of 184 nucleotides that fold into an extended hairpin structure with a large single-stranded internal bulge. The 6S RNA specifically associates with RNA polymerase holoenzyme containing the sigma70 specificity factor. Lineage: Bacteria; Bacillati; Bacillota; Clostridia; Eubacteriales; Clostridiaceae. The record is from Rfam.